Molecule: ribosomal RNA, 378 nt
Filed under: uncultured Vibrio sp.
Lineage: Bacteria; Pseudomonadati; Pseudomonadota; Gammaproteobacteria; Vibrionales; Vibrionaceae
Description: bacterial SSU rRNA
Rfam family: Bacterial small subunit ribosomal RNA
Source: RNAcentral
AUGGGCGAAGCCUGAUGCAGCCAUGCCGCGUGUAUGAAGAAGGCCUUCGGGUUGUAAAGUACUUUCAGUAGGGAGGAAGGUGUUGUAGUUAAUAGCUGCAGCAUUUGACGUUACCUACAGAAGAAGCACCGGCUAACUCCGUGCCAGCAGCCGCGGUAAUACGGAGGGUGCGAGCGUUAAUCGGAAUUACUGGGCGUAAAGCGCAUGCAGGUGGUUCAUUAAGUCAGAUGUGAAAGCCCGGGGCUCAACCUCGGAACCGCAUUUGAAACUGGUGAACUAGAGUGCUGUAGAGGGGGGUAGAAUUUCAGGUGUAGCGGUGAAAUGCGUAGAGAUCUGAAGGAAUACCAGUGGCGAAGGCGGCCCCCUGGACAGACACUG